This is a long non-coding RNA of Musa acuminata AAA Group (dessert banana), 431 nucleotides long. RefSeq lists it as uncharacterized. The record is from RefSeq and is a predicted model, not a curated record. The transcript is spliced from 3 exons. Lineage: Eukaryota; Viridiplantae; Streptophyta; Magnoliopsida; Zingiberales; Musaceae.
CCCUCCUCCAUCUCCCCUCUCCGAGCCUCCGUCUCUCCCUCGCUCCCGCGGGUGGCGGCGAGCCAUGGCCGAACACGGCUUCAAGAUCGAGAUCGCCUUCGUCGGGAGGUUAGCGACCAUCGCCAUUGCCGGCUGCUUCGCGGAGGUUUGGUGCUGGGGGGCUUUUUCAGUUUGUAUUGGGCUCUCCUGUUGAUGUGAGCCUGAAAUUGAAUUUGCUUUAUCAAUAUGAUGACGAGCACGAUGAGUAUAUUUCAAUUUUGGAUUCUACACAUGCUUCUUAUACGAAGAAGAAGUUGAAUGUGAUGAUGAUGAUUAUUAUUAUUAUUAUUUUGUAAAUGAAUGUAAAUAGCAAUCUCUGAAUGGCAGAAGGGGAGAGAGAGAGAGUGGGGGAAGAGAUGGGAGGCAAAAGGGAGCACGACGGAUGAAAGGGU